Molecule: ribosomal RNA, 629 nt
Filed under: uncultured bacterium
Lineage: Bacteria
Description: bacterial SSU rRNA
Rfam family: Bacterial small subunit ribosomal RNA
Source: RNAcentral
CUGGAGCGGCCGAUAUCUGAUUAGCUAGUUGGUAGGGUAAAAGCCUACCGGCAUCGAUCAGUAGCUGGUCUGAGAGGACGACCAGCCACACUGGAACUGAGACACGGCAGACUCCUACGGGAGGCAGCAGUGGGGAAUUUUGGACAAUGGGCGCAAGCCUGAUCCCAAUGCCGCGUGAGUGAAGAAGGCCUUCGGGUUGUAAAGCUCUUUUGUCAGGGAAGAAGGCUACGGAUAAUACCUGUGGCUCAUGACGGUACCUGAAGAAUAAGCACCGGCUAACUGUGCCAGCAGCCGCGGUAAUACGUAGGGUGCAAGCGUUAAUCGGAAUUACUGGGCGUAGCGUGCGCAGGCGGUUUUGUAAGACUGUCGUGAAAUCCCCGGGCUCAACCUGGGAAUGGAUGGUGACUGCAAGGCUAGAGUUUGGCAGAGGGGGGUAGAAUUCCACGUGUAGCAGUAAUGCGUAGAUAUGUGGAGGAACACCGAUGGCGAAGGCAGCCCCCUGGGUCAAAACUGGCUCAUGCACGAAAGCGUGGGGAGCAAACAGGAUUAGAUACCCUGGUAGUCCACGCCCAACGAUGUCUACUAGUUGUCGGGUCUUAAUUGACUUGGUAACGCAGCUAACGCGUGAA